RNAcentral lists this ribosomal RNA (253 nucleotides) under uncultured bacterium. RNAcentral describes it as "partial 16S ribosomal RNA". It matches the Rfam family "Bacterial small subunit ribosomal RNA", at positions 524 to 776 of the family's 1533-position model. The record is from RNAcentral.
UACGUAGGCCGCAAGCGUUGUUCGGAGUUACUGGGCGUAAAGAGUGCGUAGGCGGUCCUGUAAGUUUGGUGUGAAAUCUCCCGGCUCAACUGGGAGGGUGCGCCGAAGACUGCAGGGCUUGAGUAUGGGAGAGGUAAGCGGAAUUCCUGGUGUAGCGGUGAAAUGCGUAGAUAUCAGGAGGAACACCUGUGGUGUAGACAGCUUACUGGACCAUAACUGACGCUGAGGCACGAAAGCGGGGGUAGCGAACAGG